UUUGAAAACUCUAGAGAUAGAGCUUUCCCCUUCGGGGGACAAAGUGACAGGUGGUGCAUGGUUGUCGUCAGCUCGUGUCGUGAGAUGUUGGGUUAAGUCCCGCAACGAGCGCAACCCUUAAGCUUAGUUGCCAUCAUUAAGUUGGGCACUCUAGGUUGACUGCCGGUGACAAACCGGAGGAAGGUGGGGAUGACGUCAAAUCAUCAUGCCCCUUAUGAUUUGGGCUACACACGUGCUACAAUGGACAAUACAAAGGGCAGCUAAACCGCGAGGUCAUGCAAAUCCCAUAAAGUUGUUCUCAGUUCGGAUUGUAGUCUGCAACUCGACUACAUGAAGCUGGAAUCGCUAGUAAUCGUAGAUCAGCAUGCUACGGUGAAUACGUUCCCGGGUCUUGUACACACCGCCCGUCACACCACGAGAGUUUGUAACACCCGAAGCCGGUGGAGUAACCAUUUAUGGAGCUAGCCGUCGAAGGUGGGACAAAUGAUUGGGGUGAAGUCGUAACAAGGUAGCCGUAUCGGAAG
RNAcentral lists this ribosomal RNA (524 nucleotides) under uncultured bacterium. RNAcentral describes it as "bacterial SSU rRNA". It matches the Rfam family "Bacterial small subunit ribosomal RNA", at positions 990 to 1511 of the family's 1533-position model. The record is from RNAcentral.